RNAcentral lists this ribosomal RNA (253 nucleotides) under uncultured bacterium. Its description in RNAcentral is "partial 16S ribosomal RNA". It matches the Rfam family "Bacterial small subunit ribosomal RNA", at positions 524 to 776 of the family's 1533-position model. The record is from RNAcentral.
UACAGAGGUGGCAAGCGUUGUUCGGAAUUACUGGGCGUAAAGGGCUCGUAGGUGGCCAACUAAGUCAGACGUGAAAUCCCUCGGCUUAACCGGGGAACUGCGUCUGAUACUGGAUGGCUUGAGUUUGGGAGAGGGACGCGGAAUUCCAGGUGUAGCGGUGAAAUGCGUUGAGAUCCACAGGAACUCCGGUGGCGAAGGCGGCCCGCUGGACCCCAUCUGACGCUGAGGCGCGAAAGCCAGGGGAGCGAACAGG